This 596-nucleotide ribosomal RNA is filed under the name Shewanella sp. CAL627. RNAcentral's name for it is "bacterial SSU rRNA". It matches the Rfam family "Bacterial small subunit ribosomal RNA", at positions 19 to 605 of the family's 1533-position model. Lineage: Bacteria; Pseudomonadati; Pseudomonadota; Gammaproteobacteria; Alteromonadales; Shewanellaceae. The record is from RNAcentral.
AUUAACCUGUUGAACGCUGGCGGCAGGCCUAACACAUGCAAGUCGAGCGGUAACACAAGGGAGCUUGCUCCUGAGGUGACGAGCGGCGGACGGGUGAGUAAUGCCUAGGGAUCUGCCCAGUCGAGGGGGAUAACAGUUGGAAACGACUGCUAAUACCGCAUACGCCCUACGGGGGAAAGGAGGGGACCUUCGGGCCUUCCGCGAUUGGAUGAACCUAGGUGGGAUUAGCUAGUUGGUGAGGUAAUGGCUCACCAAGGCGACGAUCCCUAGCUGUUCUGAGAGGAUGAUCAGCCACACUGGGACUGAGACACGGCCCAGACUCCUACGGGAGGCAGCAGUGGGGAAUAUUGCACAAUGGGGGAAACCCUGAUGCAGCCAUGCCGCGUGUGUGAAGAAGGCCUUCGGGUUGUAAAGCACUUUCAGUAGGGAGGAAAGGUGAUAGUUUAAUAAACUAUUACUGUGACGUUACCUACAGAAGAAGGACCGGCUAACUCCGUGCCAGCAGCCGCGGUAAUACGGAGGGUCCGAGCGUUAAUCGGAAUUACUGGGCGUAAAGCGUGCGCAGGCGGUUUGUUAAGCCAGAUGUGAAAUCCCCG